Molecule: long non-coding RNA, 1263 nt
Filed under: Struthio camelus australis
Lineage: Eukaryota; Metazoa; Chordata; Aves; Struthioniformes; Struthionidae
Description: lncRNA (ENSSCUG00000018766.1)
Source: RNAcentral
AUAAAUUAAUCCAUUAAUUUGAAAUUAGUUGGUCGAGAUUUAAGUGUAGAGAUUGCAAUGAUAAUGAUAUGCUUCUCCCAUAUGAAGGAAAAGAUGAGGAUUUUUGAUUUAGUGAUACAAAAUAACAAUCCUAUAGCAAUUAAUAAAGGCCAAUUUAUCGUCCUGUCAGCUCAGCACUAAGAUAAUAAUGUAGGACUUUGUUUCCUGACAAAUAGUCAAAAGAGGUUUCCUUUUCCACUAUAGAUUCUUUUUGUAAUCAAUACAUGCUCUUAUUUUUUAACCCGACUGGCAUUACAGUAAACAGUUACUUCUUUCAAUUGGUUUUUAUAUGCAGGUUUUUACAGAACCUCACUUGAAAACAAAGGUUUGGGGUUUUUUUUUGUUUUGGGGUUUUUUUCUUCAAUAGAGAGGAGAACGUGUUCCAUUAAGAAUCACUUUGAUUCUUGUUGAAAUCUUAAUGUUAUUUCAAAGACUUACCACGUUUCAUCAGGAAAAAGAAAAAACAAAGCAAUACAUUUGGACAAGUGGGGGGAUCAGGUAAUGGUAUAAUACUAUGCCUAUUUUAAAACAGAGGUUUGAAAACGGUCCGGGUUCAAAGUUUCCCUUUUCUAAUAGCAUUGGCUAUUUGUAAAGAUGAUCACUUUUUUUUUUGUUUUUGUUCUUGUUGCACAGCCUGUGUAUCAGAAAAGCUUCUUUCAGAAAUGGUAUCAUGGAAGGAAAAGCCAGAAAGUGUAUUGGCCUGUGCAUCUUACGUUCUUGCAGCACAGAACCAUAGUUCCUCGGGUGGUCUAUAGGCCGCAUGCCAGACCAGACUGGAUUACAAAGCAGCAAAGCCAAGUGGCUGCACACCAAAGGAAGUUUUUCUGGAGAGUCAAGAUGAUCCUAUGGGCAUUCCACGAGUUUAGUAUUAUCUCUUUUGGGAAGCGAUGCUUUAAUAAAAUGUGCUGUUCUUCCACAAGCAAUCAACAGCAUAUAGGAAAUAAAUCCCAGAUGUGAAAUUGUGUGAGCUGUUAGCAAGAAAACAAACAAAGCUUCUGCAUCAAAGGAAUGAUUAUGAUCUGCAUUUUAUAGCAACAUUAACUUCUUCAAUUGUAGCAGAAAAAGAGAAGAAAAAAAGAAGAAAGAAAGAAAAUGAACAAGCAACCUGGAUAAAUGCCAUUGCUUCAUUUUACAUCAGUAUUGGUUGUCCACUUUAUGUGAAAUAUAACUGUAACUAAACAUUUAUUUCACUAAAAUAAAAGCAACCAAUAAUGGCUGGUGACA